AGGAUUUGGAGCGUCUUAUUUUGCAGGACGAUUACGGAUCAAAUCGAACGGCCUAGUUCUGUAUUAGACGGGUGGGAACCCUACCACUGACUGGAUCUCUGGCAUAAAACCUGGCAUAGUUUUUAUAGAGUAAGCAAAUCUUUGCCCUGCCCUACAAGGUCCCCUCUGGCCUCCAAGUGAGGAGCUCUAGCCUCCCUUCGCCCGGUCCCGGCCACCCCGUACUCUGCUCCUCCGCUCCCGAGGAAGGGGGACACGCCCGCGUGUGUGCCCGCACGUGUGUGUGCAGGGUGUGCGAGUGACGUUUUGCAUCUGGUUGCUGGGAAACGAGGCGGCAUGAAGAGCGACGGCAGGAGAAUUCAAAUCAGAAUUUUAGAGCAGGGAAGUGGCUAGAAAACUGGUCUCAUCUCUUCACGUGACCGAUGGAGAAAGAGGCCCGACGUCCUGAGGUGACUUGCCCUAACAAGUCGGAGGCAGAGCUGGGACUAGUGCCACAUUUGUCAUUUUCCUGGCCCCAUUCUCUGUGUUACUCAGGCUUCGAAACGGGGUUAGAAGAGGCACGGGGGACUGUGUUGACAUACGUGGGUCCCACCGGUGUCUCCUCAAGCACCGUCUCAGAGGGAAGCGGAAAGGGAGGGUGGGCACAGACAGCACAGUAGCUCACAGUCCCGUUCCGAGGUGGUUCUCAUGGGAGGAAGCUCACAACCCACAGCCCCUCCAGCGCCUCCUCUUUUACUAUGGUGGUUUAUUUUAUUUUUUUUUUUCAUCACAAUAAUCUCAUUCGCUCAUCGUGCUCCUCAGCUUCCAGAGCAGCAUCUCGCUCAUUACCCCUUUCGCUCCUUGCAGCCCUGCCACGCAGGCUGAAUAAUUCUCUCAUUUUCCAGAAGAGGGAACUGAGGCAGAAUAGCCCAGUCACGGCCGGAAGAUCGCAGAGAGCUAAAGGCAGAAAGCUUAGCCAAGAACCUAGCCUCAGGCUCUCACCACUAAAUUAUGUGGUUCUUCUAGUUUUCUGACUCUUCCCGGUCUUUCAGUCUUUCUUGGUGGCGGGGGAGGGGGGCGGUGUCAGCCAGGAGCGGUGACCCCGGACGGGGGAAAGAGCAGCCAUGUGUGGGGAGGAGGCACACACUGGCCACACGCGGCCGCCUCCUUCUGGGCCAGGUUCUUGGCAGUGGGAUGAGGAUCGAAGCGUCCGGGAGAGCGGGUAUGUCCUCCUACCUGCCACGGACAGCUCCGUCAUGCGUGUAGGCAGACGUGUGUGUUUACUAAGCCGGGGAGUCCUCAUCCCCUGGGGAGUCCAGAGACUAGCUUUGCACAGACACGUCAUUUUACACAUAUUUACAGGUAUUGAUCUAAACAAAGAAGAAUGUGCAGUGUUCACUACCUUCCCGUCAACGCGUGGGAGGGAAGGCAUGCCAGCAGUGGGGGGCAGGUGUGAGGGUCAGGACGGACAGCCUCUGGGAGCUGCUCGGUGCGCCCCACACCAGCCGAAACCAGACACUGCAGUGUCCUCCUCGCCAAGUCGAUGCGCCCGGGCUGUGCUCACCCCUGAGAGCGUGAGCUCCUAGAGAGCGGGGAAGGUAUCAUGUUCACCUCGGGCAAACCUGGCAGAGCACUUCCUGCUCGGUAAAUGCUCAGUGCACUGAACAUCAGGGAAGAAGAUGAUCCGAGGCCCAGGAGAGAUGACCGGAGGAGGGGGAGGUCAGCUUGGGUGGCAGCCACGUGGAUUUUCACAGAGGGGGCUGCGUGACUGAGACCCAAGAGAAAUCUACCAGCCAGAGAGGAACGCUGGGUUCCCCAUCAUCCUGGAGACGCUACCAAGUCUCCCCUUCUCACUGGCCCACGCGCCACCCGUGGGGUCCCCCCAAGCCCACCCAGAGUCCUCCUCUGAGUCCUUGGCACAAACCCCGACUUCACCACUCGCUCGCCCUGUCUGGGCCUGCCUCGUUCCCGGGACAAAGCCCUUCCUCCUGCAGCUGGGCUGGGGAGCGUAUAAGGCUGGUGCUGUUCUGCCAAUCAGCUCACCCCCUGACCUGGCCGUGUUGUCUUCAAGUACAUGGUUAUCUCACUCUUACCUAAUUGCCUGUGUCCCCCCUUGGGCUGGUUGACUGCACAGCCUAGGCCACUCCCCUUCCCGGCCAUUUUGGGGGCCCUCCUGGGAGCACCCACCCAGAGGGCCGUCACUACUCCAGGCUCCUGGUGCUUGGGAAGGAGAGGGCCACGGAGCUCCGCAGUCAGGCAGGGAACCAGGGGACACGGCGGGAUCCCUCUCGGUGGUGACAUCAGGCCGUUCUCGCCCACGGGACAGGAGGAGGCACACCGCAUGGUCAUGUCAUCAGCCAAACAUGUGCUCAGCCCCCACGCUCCCAGGCCUGGGGGACAGAGGUGGGCGGCUGGCGUGAGAGGCAGGAAGCGAGAACGGAGGAAAGGAGCACAUCCCCGGCCCAGAAUCCUUGAGAAAAGAAGAAAAACCACAAGGGCUCCUGGUGGCCUCUUAGCCUCCCUCCUGCUCAGGCUCAGACCUACUCAGUUCAACUGACGGCAGUCCCAUCGACCCUCACGGAACCCCGUGCUGUUCGCUGGUGGACUGGCCGGUGAGAAUCCGCGUUCGCGGAGGCCGACUUCAGUUACACGCGGAUUUUCGCCGGCACAUCCCGGGAGCCCCUACCCCCUGCACUGUUCAAGGGUCAACUGCGCUCACAAGAAGCUGGCAUAACUGAAUCGGAUCUUAAAGACAGCGAACCCUAUGUCCAUGCUCUCCCCCUUUCUUCCACCUGGCAUCCUGGGGCCGCACGGGCCACGACCCUUGAGACAAAAUGCUCCCACGGAGCCAGGCCUGAAGACAGUGUCCAGACAAGAUGGACAGGGAAGGACGGGGGAAGUGGGGUGGAUGAGGGGGAGGAGGGGGUGAGGGACACACCUGGGGGCGAAGGCAGCAGAG
This is a long non-coding RNA of Pteropus alecto (black flying fox), 2935 nucleotides long. RefSeq lists it as uncharacterized. The record is from RefSeq and is a predicted model, not a curated record. The transcript is spliced from 3 exons. Lineage: Eukaryota; Metazoa; Chordata; Mammalia; Chiroptera; Pteropodidae.